AGUGAACGCUGGCGGUAGGCCUAACACAUGCAAGUCGAACGGCAGCACAGUAAGAGCUUGCUCUUACGGGUGGCGAGUGGCGGACGGGUGAGGAAUACAUCGGAAUCUACUUUUUCGUGGGGGAUAACGUAGGGAAACUUACGCUAAUACCGCAUACGACCUACGGGUGAAAGCAGGGGAUCUUCGGACCUUGCGCGAUUGAAUGAGCCGAUGUCGGAUUAGCUAGUUGGCGGGGUAAAGGCCCACCAAGGCAACGAUCCGUAGCUGGUCUGAGAGGAUGAUCAGCCACACUGGAACUGAGACACGGUCCAGACUCCUACGGGAGGCAGCAGUGGGGAAUAUUGGACAAUGGGCGCAAGCCUGAUCCAGCCAUACUGCGUGGGUGAAGAAGGCCUUCGGGUUGUAAAGCCCUUUUGUUGGGAAAGAAAAGCAGCAGGUUAAUACCCCGCUGUUCUGACGGUACCCAAAGAAUAAGCACCGGCUAACUUCGUG
Molecule: ribosomal RNA, 492 nt
Filed under: uncultured bacterium
Lineage: Bacteria
Description: partial 16S ribosomal RNA
Rfam family: Bacterial small subunit ribosomal RNA
Source: RNAcentral